This 338-nucleotide unclassified non-coding RNA is filed under the name soil metagenome. RNAcentral describes it as "partial contains 5.8S ribosomal RNA, internal transcribed spacer 2, and large subunit ribosomal RNA". The stretch from base 1 to 120 matches the Rfam family "5.8S ribosomal RNA", at positions 35 to 154 of the family's 154-position model. The record is from RNAcentral.
GAUGAAGAACGCAGCGAAAUGCGAUAAGUAAUGUGAAUUGCAGAAUUCAGUGAAUCAUCGAAUCUUUGAACGCACAUUGCGCCCGCCAGUAUUCUGGCGGGCAUGCCUGUUCGAGCGUCAUUUCAACCAUCAAGCCCCCGGCUUGUGUUGGGGACCUGCGGCUGCCGCAGGCCCUGAAAACCAGUGGCGGGCUCGCUAGUCACUCCGAGCGUAGUAAUACAUCUCGCUCAGGGCGUGCGGCGGGCUCCUGCCGUGAAACCCCCCACUGUAACCCCAAAGGUUGACCUCGGAUCAGGUAGGAAUACCCGCUGAACUUAAGCAUAUCAAUAAGCGGAGGA